GAUGAACGCUGGCGGCGUGCCUAAUACAUGCAAGUCGAGCGAACGGACGAGAAGCUUGCUUCUCUGAUGUUAGCGGCGGACGGGUGAGUAACACGUGGAUAACCUACCUAUAAGACUGGGAUAACUUCGGGAAACCGGAGCUAAUACCGGAUGAUAUUUUGAACCGCAUGGUUCAAAAGUGAAAGACGGUCUUGCUGUCACUUAUAGAUGGAUCCGCGCUGCAUUAGCUAGUUGGUAAGGUAAUGGCUUACCAAGGCAACGAUGCAUAGCCGACCUGAGAGGGUGAUCGGCCACACUGGAAGUGAGACACGGUCCAUACUCCUACGGGAGGCAGCAGUAGGGUAUCUUCCGCAAUGGGCGAAAGCCUGACGGAGCAACGCCGCGUGAGUGAUGAAGGUCUUCGGAUCGUAAAACUCUGUUAUUAGGGAAGAACAUAUGUGUAAGUAACUGUGCACAUCUUGACGGUACCUAAUCAGAAAGCCCCGGCUAACUACGUG
Molecule: ribosomal RNA, 497 nt
Filed under: uncultured bacterium
Lineage: Bacteria
Description: partial 16S ribosomal RNA
Rfam family: Bacterial small subunit ribosomal RNA
Source: RNAcentral